ACUAGUCUGGUGAGUGUUCCCGUGCUCAAGGAGCACAACAUUAAUUAGCAAAUGAAGAAGGUCCUGAGAAAGAGGCUGCGAAAGAAAACCUACUCAACGUGAAGAUGAUGAGAAUGAAGACCUUUAUGAUGAUCUGCUUCCACUUAAAGAAUAGUAGGUAUUUGGCUGACUCCUGGACUAUGCAAGCACAAGAAGAGAUUUCAGAAGGUUUGGAAGAGAGUCUCUUCUGAGAGGCUGAGGGCUAAGAAGACUGCCCUGUGCAGGAAAGAUGUUGGAGUGCAAGCCCAUCUGGAAUGGAGAGACCUCGAUGAAACACAUAGGCAAUUAAUUAGAUCCCAGAAAGGCCACACUGUGCAAUUGACUGCAGGUAACUGAAACUGCGGAAAGUGAAACUGCAGAUAAGAGGGACCACUGUAAAUAAGUGACAUGAAUGAUACUGCAAAGGACCAUAGCCUAACCAGCCAAGCAAACUGGAAGUACCUUUAGACUCACGCUUUGCCAAGCUCAGUUCCAGAAUCACAUGAUGAAAAGAAUGAUGGAAAGAAAAUGUUUGUGAUAUUAAAAUUAAGGAAAUUACUCCAACUCAGAGCUUUGAAUCUUGACAGAGUGUUGCAAAGACAGAAGAAAUG
This 629-nucleotide long non-coding RNA is filed under the name Homo sapiens (human). Its description in RNAcentral is "HSALNT0307678". Lineage: Eukaryota; Metazoa; Chordata; Mammalia; Primates; Hominidae. The record is from RNAcentral.